This 849-nucleotide ribosomal RNA is filed under the name uncultured archaeon. Its description in RNAcentral is "bacterial SSU rRNA". It matches the Rfam family "Archaeal small subunit ribosomal RNA", at positions 70 to 922 of the family's 1478-position model. The record is from RNAcentral.
CGCAAGGCGUGGCAUACGGCUCAGUAACACGUAGUCAACAUGCCCAAAGGACGUGGAUAACCUCGGGAAACUGAGGAUAAACCGCGAUAGGCCAAGGUUUCUGGAAUGAGCCAUGGCCGAAAUCUAUAUGGCCUUUGGAUUGGACUGCGGCCGAUCAGGCUGUUGGUGAGGUAAUGGCCCACCAAACCUGUUACCGGUACGGGCUUUGGGAGAAGGAGCCCGGAGAUGGGCACUGAGACAAGGGCCCAGGCCCUAUGGGGCGCAGCAGGCGCGAAACCUCUGCAAUAGGCGAGAGCCUGACAGGGUUACUCUGAGUGAUGCCCGCUAAGGGUAUCUUUUGGCACCUCUAAAAAUGGUGCAGAAUAAGGGGUGGGCAAGUCUGGUGUCAGCCGCCGCGGUAAUACCAGCACCCCGAGUUGUCGGGACGAUUAUUGGGCCUAAAGCAUCCGUAGCCUGUUCUGCAAGUCCUCCGUUAAAUCCACCUGCUCAACGGAUGGGCUGCGGAGGAUACCGCAGAGCUAGGAGGCGGGAGAGGCAAACGGUACUCAGUGGGUAGGGGUAAAAUCCAUUGAUCUACUGAAGACCACCAGUGGCGAAGGCGGUUUGCCAGAACGCGCUCGACGGUGAGGGAUGAAAGCUGGGGGAGCAAACCGGAUUAGAUACCCGGGUAGUCCCAGCUGUAAACGAUGCAGACUCGGUGAUGGGUUGGCUUCGAGCCAACCCAGUGCCGCAGGGAAGCCGUUAAGUCUGCCGCCUGGGGAGUACGGUCGCAAGACUGAAACUUAAAGGAAUUGGCGGGGGAGCACCACAAGGGGUGAAGCCUGCGGUUCAAUUGAAUUCAACGCCGGG